UACGUAGGGUGCAAGCGUUGUCCGGAAUUAUUGGGCGUAAAGAGCUCGUAGGCGGUCUGUCGCGUCUGCUGUGAAAACUCAGGGCUUAACCCUGAGCUUGCAGUGGGUACGGGCAGACUAGAGUGCGGUAGGGGAGACUGGAAUUCCUGGUGUAGCGGUGAAAUGCGCAGAUAUCAGGAGGAACACCGGUGGGCGAAGGCGGUUCUCUGGGAAUACCUGACGCUGA
Molecule: ribosomal RNA, 226 nt
Filed under: uncultured bacterium
Lineage: Bacteria
Description: partial 16S ribosomal RNA
Rfam family: Bacterial small subunit ribosomal RNA
Source: RNAcentral